UAAUUCCAGCUCCAAUAGCGUAUAUUAAACUUGUUGCAGUUAAAAAGCUCGUAGUUGAAUUUCUGCUGUAUCGUUUUCCUAAUGCUUGACAGUUGGAUUUCGUUACGGCUUAGUUGGGUUACAGCUCUUGUUACCCAACGUUUACUUUGAGAAAAUUAGAGUGCUUCAAGCAGGCUUUUGCCUUGAAUACUUUAGCAUGGAAUAAUGGAGUAGGACUUUGGUUCUAUUUUGUUGGUUUUAGGAGCCAGAGUAAUGGUUAAUAGGAACAGUUGGGGGCAUUCGUAUUUGACUGUCAGAGGUGAAAUUCUUAGAUUUGUCAAAGACGAACUACUGCGAAAGCAUUUGCCAAGGAUGUUUUCAUUAAUCAAGAACGAAAGUUAGGGGAUCGAAGACGAUCAGAUACCGUCGUAGUCCUAACUAUAAACGAUGCCGACUAGAGAUUGGAGGUCGUCAGUUUGAACGAC
Molecule: ribosomal RNA, 464 nt
Filed under: Theileria equi
Lineage: Eukaryota; Apicomplexa; Aconoidasida; Piroplasmida; Theileriidae
Description: SSU rRNA
Rfam family: Eukaryotic small subunit ribosomal RNA
Source: RNAcentral